UAGGGAAUAUUGCGCAAUGGACGAAAGUCUGACGCAGCCACGCCGCGUGAGUGAGGAAGGCCUUCGGGUUGUAAAGCUCUGUCAACAGGGAAAAACGGCUAUCCGGGGAAAGUUCGGGUAGCGUGAUGGUACCUGUGGAGGAAGCACCGGCAAACUCUGUGCCAGCAGCCGCGGUAAUACAGAGGGUGCAAGCGUUGUUCGGAAUUACUGGGCGUAAAGCGUGCGUAGUCGGUAUUGAGAGUCAUAGGUGAAAUCCCAGGGCUUAACCCUGGAACUGCCCGUGAGACCUCAGUACUAGAGUGUGAGAGGGGAUAGUGGAAUACCAAGUGUAGCGGUGAAAUGCGUAGAGAUUUGGUAGAACACCGGUGGCGAAGGCGGCUAUCUGGCUCACAACUGACGAUCAGGCACGAAAGCGUGGGGAGCAAACAGG
RNAcentral lists this ribosomal RNA (430 nucleotides) under uncultured bacterium. RNAcentral's name for it is "bacterial SSU rRNA". It matches the Rfam family "Bacterial small subunit ribosomal RNA", at positions 355 to 776 of the family's 1533-position model. The record is from RNAcentral.